Molecule: non-coding RNA, 24 nt
Filed under: Rattus norvegicus (Norway rat)
Lineage: Eukaryota; Metazoa; Chordata; Mammalia; Rodentia; Muridae
Source: RNAcentral
UUGAAGCAGCAGCAAUCCCAACAC